RNAcentral lists this ribosomal RNA (255 nucleotides) under uncultured bacterium. Its description in RNAcentral is "partial 16S ribosomal RNA". It matches the Rfam family "Bacterial small subunit ribosomal RNA", at positions 524 to 776 of the family's 1533-position model. The record is from RNAcentral.
UACAGAGACUGCAAGCGUUAUUCGGAUUCACUGGGCGUAAAGGGUGCGCAGGCGGCCGUGUGUGUGAGGCGUGAAAGCCCGGGGCUCAACCCCGGAAUUGCACCUCAAACUACAUGGCUAGAGCAUUGGAGAGGGAAGCGGAAUUCACGGUGUAGCAGUGAAAUUCGUAGAUAUCGGGAGGAACACCGGUGGCGAAGGCGGCCAUCUGGGACGGAUACUGACGCUGAGACGCGGAAAGCGUGGGUAGCAAACAGG